Molecule: ribosomal RNA, 440 nt
Filed under: uncultured bacterium
Lineage: Bacteria
Description: partial 16S ribosomal RNA
Rfam family: Bacterial small subunit ribosomal RNA
Source: RNAcentral
CCUACGGGAGGCUGCAGUGGGGAAUAUUGCACAAUGGGGGAAACCCUGAUGCAGCGACGCCGCGUGAGUGAAGAAGUAAUUCGUUAUGUAAAGCUCUAUCAGCAGGGAAGAAAAUGACGGUACCUGAGGAAGAAGCCCCGGCUAACUACGGGCCAGCAGCCGCGGUAAUACGUAGGGGGCAAGCGUGAUCCGGAUUUACUGGGUGUAAAGGGAGCGUAGACGGCAGUGCAAGUCUGGAGUGAAAGGCGGGGGCUCAACCCCCGGACUGCUCUUGAAACUGUAUGGCUGGAGUGCAGGAGAGGUAAGUGGAAUUCCUAGUGUAGCGGUGAACUGCGUAGAUAUUAGGAGGAACACCAGUGGCGAAGGCGGCUUACUGGACUGUACCUGACGUUGAGGCUCGACAGCGUGGGGAGCAAACAGGAUUAGAUCCCCUUGUAGUC